ACCUGGGUGGCUCAGUCAGUAGGGCAUCUGACUUCAGCUCAGGUCAUGAUCUCGUGGUUGGUGGGUUCAAGCCCCACAUCAGGAU
Molecule: transfer RNA, 85 nt
Filed under: Felis catus (domestic cat)
Lineage: Eukaryota; Metazoa; Chordata; Mammalia; Carnivora; Felidae
Rfam family: tRNA
About the family: Transfer RNA (tRNA) molecules are approximately 80 nucleotides in length. Their secondary structure includes four short double-helical elements and three loops (D, anti-codon, and T loops). Further hydrogen bonds mediate the characteristic L-shaped molecular structure. tRNAs have two regions of fundamental functional importance: the anti-codon, which is responsible for specific mRNA codon recognition, and the 3' end, to which the tRNAs corresponding amino acid is attached (by aminoacyl-tRNA synthetases). tRNAs cope with the degeneracy of the genetic code in two manners: having more than one tRNA (with a specific anti-codon) for a particular amino acid; and 'wobble' base-pairing, i.e. permitting non-standard base-pairing at the 3rd anti-codon position.
Source: Rfam by way of RNAcentral